CCUGGCGGCUGUAGCGCGGUGGUCCCACCUGACCCCAUGCCGAACUCAGAAGUGAAACGCCGUAGCGCCGAUGGUAGUGUGGGGCCUCCCCAUGCGAGAGUAGGGAACUGCCAGGCAU
Molecule: ribosomal RNA, 118 nt
Filed under: Cronobacter malonaticus
Lineage: Bacteria; Pseudomonadati; Pseudomonadota; Gammaproteobacteria; Enterobacterales; Enterobacteriaceae
Also listed under: 1 other name
Source: RNAcentral